GACGAACGCUGGCGGCGUGCUUAACACAUGCAAGUCGAACGGAAAGGCCCUGCUUUUGUGGGGUGCUCGAGUGGCGAACGGGUGAGUAACACGUGAGUAACCUGCCCUUGACUUUGGGAUAACUUCAGGAAACUGGGGCUAAUACCGGAUAGGAGCUCCUGCUGCAUGGUGGGGGUUGGAAAGUUUCGGCGGUUGGGGCUGGACUCGCGGCUUAUCAGCUUGUUGGUGGGGUAGUGGCUUACCAAGGCUUUGACGGGUAGCCGGCCUGAGAGGGUGACCGGCCACAUUGGGACUGAGAUACGGCCCAGACUCCUACGGGAGGCAGCAGUGGGGAAUAUUGCACAAUGGGAGGAAGCCUGAUGCAGAAACGCCGCGUGCGGGAUGACGGCCUUCGGGUUGUAAACCGCUUUCGCCUGUGACGAAGCGUGAGUGACGGUAAUGGGUAAAGAAGCACCGGCUAACUACGUG
RNAcentral lists this ribosomal RNA (468 nucleotides) under uncultured bacterium. RNAcentral describes it as "partial 16S ribosomal RNA". It matches the Rfam family "Bacterial small subunit ribosomal RNA", at positions 28 to 507 of the family's 1533-position model. The record is from RNAcentral.